RNAcentral lists this ribosomal RNA (492 nucleotides) under uncultured bacterium. RNAcentral describes it as "partial 16S ribosomal RNA". It matches the Rfam family "Bacterial small subunit ribosomal RNA", at positions 30 to 507 of the family's 1533-position model. The record is from RNAcentral.
AUUGAACGCUGGCGGCAUGCUUUACACAUGCAAGUCGAACGGUAACAGGCCUUCGGGUGCUGCCGAGUGGCGCACGGGUGCGUAAUACAUAGGAACGUACCAAGAGGUGGGGGGUAACGCAGCGAAAGCUGUGCUAAUACCGCAUGUGAUCUGAGGAUGAGAGCGGGGGAGCGAGCAGCAAUGUUUGGCCUCGCGCCUUUGGAGCGGCCGAUGUCGGAUUAGCUAGUUGGUGGGGUAAAGGCCUACCAAGGCGACGAUCCGUAGCUGGUCUGAGAGGACGAUCAGCCACACUGGAACUGAGACACGGCCCAGACUCCUACGGGAGGCAGCAGUAGGGAAUCUUGGACAAUGGGCGCAAGCCUGAUCCAGCAAUGCCGCGUGAGUGAUGAAGGUCUUCGGAUUGUAAACCGCUGUUGUCAGGAAAGAAACGGUGUCUGAGAAUACCUGGCGGUAAUGACGGUACCUGCAGAGUAAGCACCGGCUAACUACGUG